AAGAUGGCGACCGGCGCACGGGUGAGUAACACGUAUCCAACCUGCCGAUAACUCCGGAAUAGCCUUUCGAAAGAAAGAUUAAUACCGGAUGGCAUACGAAUAUCGCAUGAUAUUUUUAUUAAAGAGUUUCGGUUAUCGAUGGGGAUGCGUUCCAUUAGUUUGUUGGCGGGGUAACGGCCCACCAAGACUACGAUGGAUAGGGGUUCUGAGAGGAAGGUCCCCCACAUUGGAACUGAGACACGGUCCAA
RNAcentral lists this ribosomal RNA (248 nucleotides) under uncultured bacterium. RNAcentral describes it as "partial 16S ribosomal RNA". It matches the Rfam family "Bacterial small subunit ribosomal RNA", at positions 85 to 334 of the family's 1533-position model. The record is from RNAcentral.